This 406-nucleotide ribosomal RNA is filed under the name uncultured bacterium. RNAcentral's name for it is "partial 16S ribosomal RNA". It matches the Rfam family "Bacterial small subunit ribosomal RNA", at positions 30 to 526 of the family's 1533-position model. The record is from RNAcentral.
AUUGAACGCUGGCGGCAGGCCUAACACAUGCAAGUCGAACGAGUGGCGGACGGGUGAGUAAUUUCUGGGAAACUGCCUGAUGGAGGGGGAUACCUACUGGAAACGGUAGCUAAUACCGCAUACCAUCGGAUGUGCCCAGAUGGGAUUGGCUAGUAGGUGGGGUAAAGGCUCACCUGGGCGACGAUCCCUAGCUGGUCUGAGAGGAUGACCAGCCACACUGGAACGGAGACACGGUCCAGACUCCUAAGGGAGGCAGCAGUGGGGAAUAUGGCACAAGGGGCGAAAGCCUGAUGCAGCCAUGCCGCGUGUAUGAAGAAGGCCUUCGGGUUGUAAAGUACUUUCAGCGAGGAGGCGUUACUCGCAGAAGAAGCACCGGCUAACUCCGUGCCAGCCGCCGCGGUAAUUC